AGAGUUUGAUCAUGGCUCAGGAUGAACGCUAGCGGCAGGCUUAAUACAUGCAAGUCGAGGGGCAGCAUGACUGUAGCAAUACAGUUGAUGGCGACCGGCAAACGGGUGAGUAACGCGUACAUGACCUGCCUUUAAGACCGGGAUAGCCCUGGGAAACUGGGAUUAAUACCGGAUGUGAUAAUAGAUAUAAGGAUUUAUUAUUAAAGUUGAGGCGCUUAGAGAUGGAUGUGCGUCUGAUUAGCUAGUUGGUAGGGUAACGGCCUACCAAGGCGACGAUCAGUAGGGGGCGUGAGAGCGUGGCCCCCCACACGGGUACUGAGACACGGACCCGACUCCUACGGGAGGCAGCAGUAAGGAAUAUUGGUCAAUGGACGGAAGUCUGAACCAGCCAUCCCGCGUGCAGGAUGAAGGUCCUAUGGAUUGUAAACUGCUUUUAGCAGAGAAGAAAAGCAUUCAUUUAUGAGUGUCUGACGGUAUCUGCAGAAUAAGCACCGGCUAACUCCGUGCCAGCAGCCGCGGUAAUACGGAGGGUGCAAGCGUUAUCCGGAAUCACUGGGUUUAAAGGGUGCGUAGGCGGAAUAUUAAGUCAGUGGUGAAAGCCUGUCGCUUAACGAUAGAACUGCCAUUGAUACUGAUAUUCUUGAAUUGGGUUGAGGUUAGCGGAAUGUGACAUGUAGCGGUGAAAUGCAUAGAUAUGUCAUGGAACACCAAUUGCGAAGGCAGCUAGCUGGGCCUUGAUUGACGCUGAGGCACGAAAGCGUGGGUAGCGAACAGGAUUAGAUACCCUGGUAGUCCACGCCCUAAACGAUGCUAACUCGAUGUUUGGACUUAAGGUUUGAGCAUCCAAGGGAAACCGAUAAGUUAGCCACCUGGGG
Molecule: ribosomal RNA, 875 nt
Filed under: uncultured bacterium
Lineage: Bacteria
Description: bacterial SSU rRNA
Rfam family: Bacterial small subunit ribosomal RNA
Source: RNAcentral